GCAAAUACAUGUCAGCCGUAUUCCCCAAGCAUCGUGAAUGGAACCUUUUCAAAAUCAAGAACUAUAGUAUUCUCAACUUUAUUAAUUCAUCUAAACGAUAAACCAAUGGACAAAUAAGUUCGGUUCUGUAUACUUCUGCAACGAUUCUGGUCACAGUAACCGUUGCUAAAUUGCAUGGCAAUAUGGUACGAUUUUUGACAAAACUAUGUCUACAUGCAGUUGUAUUUCACCCAACUAUUGCAGGUUUAGUUAGGGAAUAGUUAAGUAAGAGUGACAGACACGCAUGUAGUAGUUAUUCGUUUUUGUUUCUAUAUUGUGCCCGUUCCUUUAGUUAUACAAGUGUGCACUGACAGAGAUAAUUGAGUCGGAUAUUUGAAUGUUGACUGCAAGAGAUACUUCCAAAAAUAAUAGACAGUAGUAUGUUUGAUUUUGUUGCUCUUACAAUUGUUAUUAGAAAUACGCAUCACAACGUGUUUUGCCUCGAUUAUCACCUUGCCAGAAUUUGCGCGGCAGCUUCGAAAAUGUGACGUGGGAUUAGCAUAAAAAACAGGGUCAACAAAGUGCUGCUUCAGAUGCUGCAGAAGGGCCAGAUCCAGUACGGAGUUGAGAAGGACUGAGGAAAAAUGAGCAGUGCGACCACCAGAGGCUUGACGUAUCCCAAAUACUGCAGGACAGAGGCAAUGUGGGCACAGCAUUCCACUGUGCUGGCUCCAGAUCUGUACAGCAUUAAUGAGUGAUGCCUAUGAAUCCUGGACUGGAGUUGCACAUCCAACAGGAUAUUGUUGUCACAGAAGUUCAUAGUAGUCCAUGCUCCUCAGCGUACAACUCCAUCUGUUUCGAUUGGGAAACACCAAGGGUGAUGUCCCGCAACCACUCAUCCAACAUUCUUGGAGUCCGCCGAGCGAUAAUCUAUUUUAUGAAGCAUGUCAUCGUUCAAUAGUAUAAUCUCUUAGUGAGAACAUCUUGUGCAGAAUUGGUUUUCAAAGGAGGGCCCCGGUA
Long non-coding RNA from Acipenser ruthenus (sterlet), 999 nucleotides. RefSeq lists it as uncharacterized. NCBI's taxonomy places the organism in Eukaryota, Metazoa, Chordata, Actinopteri, Acipenseriformes, Acipenseridae. The record is from RefSeq and is a predicted model, not a curated record. The transcript has 3 exons.